CUGAAAUUUAGAGAGGAAAAGGAGAGGAAAAUUCUUCAUCUUCCACCUUGAGCCAACAACUUCCAUAGCUAAUUUAUUCACAAGAUCAUCAUCUAUUCGGGAUUUUGGCGAAAGAAUUGAGUAAAGGAGAGGAUUUAGCUAUUGAUGUUUAAAGGAUUUGAAGGAAAAUCUAGCCUCUCAAGUUUCUUAUCAAGUGGCUAGAAUCCCAUUAAGUGUUGAUGAGAGUUUUGGUCUUCAAGGGUGAACAUGAAUAGGAUGGAAGUUAAGGUUGAGAUCUACUCUAUCCUAGAAUAGACACCUUGGAAGUUUUAGCAUUUUGAGAAAAUACCCGGUUGUAUUAAUUACUUCCUUAUGUAUUGAGUUAGACUUUGGAUCGUUAUUUGAUGUUGUAAGUUUAGCCUUAGCGUUUUGGUAUAGGAAAGAUACCUAAGCGUGGCGGUAACACCCAUUUUCUGUUGGUUAGAUGUAUAAGC
Molecule: long non-coding RNA, 473 nt
Organism: Ipomoea triloba (trilobed morning glory)
Lineage: Eukaryota; Viridiplantae; Streptophyta; Magnoliopsida; Solanales; Convolvulaceae
Exons: 3
Source: RefSeq, a predicted model, not a curated record